GGAGAGGUGUCCGAGUGGUUGAAGGAAACGGUCUUGAAAACCGUCGUGCCGGCAACGGUACCGUGGGUUCGAAUCCCACCCUCUCCGCCA
This 90-nucleotide transfer RNA is filed under the name Candidatus Saccharimonadota bacterium. RNAcentral describes it as "tRNA-Ser". It matches the Rfam family "tRNA". Rfam says of the family: Transfer RNA (tRNA) molecules are approximately 80 nucleotides in length. Their secondary structure includes four short double-helical elements and three loops (D, anti-codon, and T loops). The record is from RNAcentral. RNAcentral also lists the same sequence under 2 other names. Lineage: Bacteria; Candidatus Saccharimonadota.